This 217-nucleotide long non-coding RNA is filed under the name Elaeis guineensis (African oil palm). RNAcentral describes it as "long non-coding RNA (EGUI_LNC073775)". Lineage: Eukaryota; Viridiplantae; Streptophyta; Magnoliopsida; Arecales; Arecaceae. The record is from RNAcentral.
CAUUGGAUCGCUUCCCUCCAACUCUCAUUUUUCAUACUAAAUAUAUAUAUAUAUAUAUAUAUAUAUUGGUAUGGAGAUGCAUAAAUUUAUGUCUGUAUUUAUUUUAAAUAGAUAUGAAUAUAUAUUGAAUACUGAAAAGCAUGGAUAUAAGUUAGUGAGUUAAACUUCACAAUCACAAAAUUAAAUAUAUCACUAAAUAGAAUGUAAAAUAAGCCAG